Long non-coding RNA from Brassica napus (rape), 2269 nucleotides. RefSeq lists it as uncharacterized. The transcript has 5 exons. NCBI's taxonomy places the organism in Eukaryota, Viridiplantae, Streptophyta, Magnoliopsida, Brassicales, Brassicaceae. The record is from RefSeq and is a predicted model, not a curated record.
UACAUAACCGUGACCAUUGUUUCUCCAUAACCACCACCUCACCACACAUCCACCAUGAUCACCGCCAGGAGAUCUGUAAUAUUUUUUUAUAUUUCGGGUUCACUGCAUCUUUUUAUGUAACCGCCACCAACUCCUUUAUAUCUACCUCUACCGCCACUAUAGUAACCACCACCGCCGGGAGACUCUCUGUCUCUGCUUCCGCUAAACUGAAUUUCAUUAACGCAACUUCCAUCAUGGUAUGUACUAUUUACUAACUUUAGAUAUACAUAGUAUAGCAUUCGUGAGCCAUUUGAUUAUUUUCAUAAUAUGUACUAUAUACUAUUUAGCCUAUUCUAUUCUAUUUUUAUUUUUGUUUGCAUCUUUUUGAAGGAUGAACACGAGUCUACACUAGUUUUUCCGUUACAGCACCUACAAAUUCUUUUUUUUUUUUUGCGAUUGUUAAUGGUUGUUGGUGUUUUACGACAAUCACAAAAACGGUAUAAAUCGUUUUGAACCAUUCCAAAGGUCUGAAAAUCAAAAUCUGGUUUUGCGGUUGCGGGCGGUUACGGAUGAUUAAAUAAAUAUUAAAAAUUUCUAAAAAAAUUAAAAUUUCAAAUUUAAAAUAUUAUAAAUAAAUAAAUAAAAAUUACUGACUUUAAUUAUCAUCACCUGUGAUACAUAUGAGACUACAUAGUAGUUGUUAUUAUGGUUGUGGUGGUAGCCGAGAUGGUGCAUGUGGUAGUGGUGAUAAUUAACAUGUGGGAAGUAGUUAUGGAGAAAAUUAUACUUGUUGAAGAAGAAGAUGUUUUUUUUUUUGAUAAAGAAGAUGUUUAAAAGAAAUAUAAAUGGAAUGGAACAAACUAAAUAGUAUAAUAUAUAAUAUAUAUAUAUAUAUAUUACUAAAUAGACGCAGGAGAAGUCGACUUCUGUUCCCCAUUCGACAAAACGCACCGCGUUUCAUUUAUUUGCGAAUUGUUUGGUGCGGGCUUUGUUGUUUUUAUGGGCCUCUCAUGUUUGGAUGAAGAUACCACCUUAACAGCCCGAUAGGGGUCGACCCUCUCAUCGAACUUUAGGGUUCAUCCUCUCUCUUCGUUCUAUCGCCACGUCUGAUCUUCAUCUCCAUCAUCGAAACGGUUCCUGUUAUGAAUUCUCCGUGUUAAAUCUCUUAUUGAUUCAACCAACUACGAUGUAGCCUUGAAUGCACGAUUUUCUUCAGCUAGACGGUGUAUCAGCGAGUAUAAAAAGGCACCUUGAUAGUCGCCGUUUUCCUUCUUCGCCGUCAUCACUGCUCCUCUGACCGUGAAUGCAUCUGGAAAUUGUUUAAUCUCUCUUCCAUGUAAUCUCAAGGUUGAUGGUAGGAGAUGUUCAGGGAAAGCAGAGAAGCCAAUCUGACCAUGUUUUCCAACAAUUUGUGUUCGUGAUGUGGUGAUAUCACAGGCAUGCCAAAUGAUACCUUACUGCUUCAGCCGUCUCUAAUUUCUUCUAGGAGACGUUUUAGAAACAUUGGCAACAAGAGCAAGCGACCGGUCAUUGAUAGCGUAGACGUUUAAGAACUGAAACAAACUUGGGAGGAGGCACAUAAACUGCAGCGGCCGCCUCAAUCCACCAAACCGAGCAUCCGUAUAAGGGAAGAUCAAGAUUUUGAAGAAUAUGAUGAACAACCAGUCUUCGGGGAAAAAGACUGUUUUGCCUUACGUCAAACUAGGUGAUGCCUCCAUUUUCUGCUGUAGGAUUGAUCACUUAUGCACAAAGUGAUUUAAUCUGACUUCUUUCUCAGUCUUACGUCCCUUCUUCGACUUGUAGUAAAUGCUCAUGAAUGUGCCUAUAGCCUUGUUCUUCCUGCGGCAAUGCUCGUACAAGUCAGCGUCCAACAUUCUCCAGAAGCUUCUCUCGUCGAGCUCAGAUACUGCAUACUGAGGCUGGUAGCCAUGGUUUUCGAUCAGCCACUGCUCCAUCUUGCGCACUGCUUCUACUCCAUCGAACACUUCGCCUCUCAGGACAGGACCUGGAGCAUAGUAGACUCCAACGUCAGUGUACAUCUGUGCAUCUUCUGUGUCUCCUUGUCUCAUCUCAUACUCAAAUCCUGGUUCAGGGCUAAUCAUGCUUUUAACUGGUUGUUUGAAGAGUUUGUGAGGGCACAGCCAAAGUGGAUAAUACCUAAACAAUAUAUAUAUAUAUAUAUAUAUAAAAAAAAUUAGGAAAAAUAUUACCCAAAAAAAAUAAUUAGAAAUAAGUUCUUAACAUUUCAUAAACAUAUUUUAUGAAUUUUAAUAAAUAAUUUCUUUCAAAA